This 1818-nucleotide long non-coding RNA is filed under the name Hordeum vulgare. RNAcentral describes it as "long non-coding RNA (HVUL_LNC007406)". Lineage: Eukaryota; Viridiplantae; Streptophyta; Magnoliopsida; Poales; Poaceae. The record is from RNAcentral.
UAUAUUUUUUGGGUAGAAAAACCCAAGGAAUAUAAUGGUGACAUUGGGUUGCACUUUUGAGAAAGUUUGCAAAAAUGUCAUUUUGUGAUGAGGUGACAUUUUGUCAUUUUUGUGGGAUUAAUUAUAUGCAUGCUAUGAAGUUUUUGCCAACAUAAAAGUUCUGGAUUUUUAUGUUUACUAGGGAUUGGGGUUUUUGUUUAGCAUGAUACUCUUGUGAAUAGGUCGAUCCUUUUCUAUUUUCAAGUGUUGGAACCAUUAUAUUCAUGCCCGGUUGAUUUGGCGCUAGUAAGUUUUUUGUGGCGGUUUUUUUCAUAGGAAUGUAUAAGUAUGAUCCCCUGGUGUGUAUGCCAAGUGGCCCCCUUUUUCUUUUUUUGUAUUGUUUUAUUCUCUGUUUUUUAAUAUUUCCAUUUUAGGAAAAUGUCCAGAUAUGGGCAUGGCCAUAUUUGGCAGUAGCCAAAAGGGGUUGAUGUGACUUAUAAGUCAAAUGGGAUUGUAGGGCAUUUUUUCUUUUCAGUUUUGUGGCGGUUUUUUCCAUAGGAAUGUAUAAGUAUGAUAUAUAUUUUUUGGGUAGAAAAACCCAAGGAAUAUAAUGGUGACAUUGGGUUGCACUUUUGAGAAAGUUUGCAAAAAUGUCAUUUUGUGAUGAGGUGACAUUUUUUCAUUUUUGUGGGAUUAAUUAUAUGCAUGCUAUGAAGUUUUUGCCAACAUAAAAGUUCUGGAUUUUUAUGUUUACUAGGGAUUGGGGUUUUUGUUUAGCAUGAUACUCUUGUGAAUAGGUCGAUCCUUUUCUAUUUUCAAGUGUUGGAACCAUUAUAUUCAUGCCCGGUUGAUUUGGCGCUAGUAAGUUUUUUGUGGCGGUUUUUUUCAUAGGAAUGUAUAAGUAUGAUCCCCUGGUGUGUAUGCCAAGUGGCCCCCUUUUUCUUUUUUUGUAUUGUUUUAUUCUCUGUUUUUUAAUAUUUCCAUUUUAGGAAAAUGUCCAGAUAUGGGCAUGGCCAUAUUUGGCAGUAGCCAAAAGGGGUUGAUGUGACUUAUAAGUCAAAUGGGUUUGUAGGGCAUUUUUUCUUUUCAGUUUUGUGGCGGUUUUUUUCAUAGGAAUGUAUAAGUAUGAUAUAUAUUUUUUGGGUAGAAAAACCCAAGGAAUAUAAUGGUGACAUUGGGUUGCACUUUUGAGAAAGUUUGCAAAAAUGUCAUUUUGUGAUGAGGUGACAUUUUUUCAUUUUUGUGGGAUUAAUUAUAUGCAUGCUAUGAAGUUUUUGCCAACAUAAAAGUUCUGGAUUUUUAUGUUUACUAGGGAUUGGGGUUUUUGUUUAGCAUGAUACUCUUGUGAAUAGGUCGAUCCUUUUCUAUUUUCAAGUGUUGGAACCAUUAUAUUCAUGCCCGGUUGAUUUGGCGCUAGUAAGUUUUUUGUGGCGGUUUUUUCCAUAGGAAUGUAUAAGUAUGAUCCCCUGGUGUGUAUGCCAAGUGGCCCCCUUUUUCUUUUUUUGUAUUGUUUUAUUCUCUGUUUUUUAAUAUUUCCAUUUUAGGAAAAUGUCCAGAUAUGGGCAUGGCCAUAUUUGGCAGUAGCCAAAAGGGGUUGAUGUGACUUAUAAGUCAAAUGGGAUUGUAGGGCAUUUUUUCUUUUCAGUUUUGUGGCGGUUUUUUUCUUAGGAAUGUAUAAGUAUGAUAUAUAUUUUUUGGGUAGAAAAACCCAAGGAAUAUAAUGGUGACAUUGGGUUGCACUUUUGAGAAAGUUUGCAAAAAUGUCAUUUUGUGAUGAGGUGACAUUUUUUCAUUUUUGUGGGAUUAAUUAUAUGCAUGCUAUGAAGUUUUUGCCAACAU